AUGGAAACGUCUCUUUUAAUGCCUGGCCGCGGCCGCAGCGCCAGCGACGAGGGAUCCGGACCGGCCCGCUCACGCACCACGUGCCUCGGUCCCCAAAUCAACAUUGACGAGGAUGGCGCCGGAGUAGCCUCCAACCGCCGCAGCCGUAAGCGCCACCAUCGGCGCGGUAAGCGCCUCCGCGCACGGACCCAUGCCAGUGAGGAGGGCAACGGCCGCUCACCGGAGCCGCCUGCCUCCCUGCCGGACAGCGAAGAUAUGGUCCGGGAGAUCCUCCUCCGCCUCCCCCUGGACCUAUACUCUCUUCCCCGCGCCUCCGCCGUGUGCAAGCAGUGGCGAAGCAUCCUCGCCGACCCCAAGUUCCUCCGCCGGUUCUACGCGCACCACCGCAAGCCACCCCUCCUUGGCUUCUUCCAUUACGGCAGCACACCGAUCACGUUCACGCCCGUCCUGGCCCCUGCUCCCGACCACAUCACCCCUGGGCGCUUCUCCCUUGGACACUACAGCGACCGCAUCCUGAUUGAUUCCCGCCAUGGCCGCGUCCUGGUCUUAAACUUGCAGCAUGAAGAGGUCGUCGUUUGUGAUCCUAUCACAAACAAACAUCACCGCGUGCCCAUUCCGCCCCAGUACAACGGACGCUUCUUUAACGCGACAGUGCUUUGUGCUGCUAGCGACCAGGGCCAUGUGCACGGCAGCUGCCACUUAUGCCCCUUCAAGGUGGUCUUGGUGUCCUACAGAGAGAAUAAGCACCCCUAUGCAUGCGUUUACUCCUCGGAGACUGCCACAUGGGGCAAUGUCAUCUCAACAGUAGCUUCAGAUGAUACAACAUUUGGUCCUUGUUGUAGCACCCUUGUAGAUAAUGUCCUUUACUGGCCAGCUAAGAAAAAAGGAGAUGACAUAGUUGAGUUUGAUUUGGGCACGCAGAACCUUAAUGUUAUCAAGGGGCCUCCAGGUAUGAAUAUGCAUGAUUUCGACAACUUUCAUAUCAUUGACGCAGAGGAUGGCGCCGUUGGUCUUGUCGCUUUGUCUCGCCAGCUUAACCUUCAAAUGUGGCGGAGGAAGGUCGAUUGUCGGGGUGUUACCACAUGGUUGUUGCAGAAGACUGUUUCAUUGGGUGAACUUCUUAAGAUCCCUUCUUGGACUAUGAGAAGGAUUGAACCGCUCAAAGUGGUGGGUUAUGAUGAGGAUACUGAUGUAAUCUUUUUAGAGAGUCACGAUGGUGUGUAUAUGGUUCAGCCAAAGUCAAUGCAAGCCAGGAAACUUAAUGGAAUCAGCUCUACAUAUUACUGCUAUACUUUAGCGAGUCUCUGUGUACUAGGUGAUUGA
This 1323-nucleotide ribosomal RNA is filed under the name Triticum aestivum (bread wheat). RNAcentral describes it as "partial small subunit ribosomal RNA". Lineage: Eukaryota; Viridiplantae; Streptophyta; Magnoliopsida; Poales; Poaceae. The record is from RNAcentral.